Molecule: ribosomal RNA, 418 nt
Filed under: Epyris sp.
Lineage: Eukaryota; Metazoa; Arthropoda; Insecta; Hymenoptera; Bethylidae
Description: partial large subunit ribosomal RNA
Source: RNAcentral
AAAACAUCUCUUUUUGAAUAAAAUAAUAAGUUGACUCUGCUCUAUGAUAUUAUUUAAUGGCUGCAGUAUUUUAACUGUACAAAGGUAGCAUAAUAAAUUGUUUUUUAAAUGGAAACUAGUAUGAAAGAGGUGAUGAAAUAUAAACUUUAUUAGGUUUAAAAUUUGAAUUUAUCUUUAAAGUUAAAAGACUUUAAUAAUUUUAAGGGACGAGAAGACCCUAUAGAAUUUAAUAAUAAAUUCAAUAAUAUGUGAUUGAGUUUAUUAUUUGUUUGGGAGGAAUAUUAAAUUGAAAAACUUUAAUUUUUAUUUUACAUAUAUAAAUGAAUUAAAAUAUAUUUUAUUAUUUAAAUAUAAAAUUAAAUUACCUUAGGGAUAACAGCGUAAUAUUAUUUUAUAGUUCUUAUAGAAAAUAAUGUUU